GACGAACGCUGGCGGCGUGCCUAACACAUGCAAGUCGAACGGAAAGGCCCUGCUUUUGUGGGGUUCUCGAGUGGCGAACGGGUGAGUAACACGUGUGUAACCUGUCCCUGACUUUGGGAUAACUUCAGGUGACAGCGGCUCUUAUCGGGUAUGAGCUCCUGCAGCACGGUGGGGGUUGGUUAGUUUCGGCGGUUGGUGAUGUACUCGCGGCUUAUGAGCUUGAUGGGGGGGUAGUGGCUUACCAUGUCUAUGACGGGUAGCCGGCCUGGGAGGGUGACCGGCCACAUUAGGACUGAGAUACGGACCAGACGCGAACGUGAGGCAGCGGUGGAGAGUAUGACACAAUAGGCGGGAGCCUGAGAUGACGGCGCCGCGUGCGGGAAGACGGGCUUCGGGUUGGGAACCGAUUUCGCCUGAGACGAGGAGUGAGUGACGGUAAUGGGUGAAGAAGCACCGGCUAACUACGUG
This 468-nucleotide ribosomal RNA is filed under the name uncultured bacterium. Its description in RNAcentral is "partial 16S ribosomal RNA". It matches the Rfam family "Bacterial small subunit ribosomal RNA", at positions 28 to 507 of the family's 1533-position model. The record is from RNAcentral.